Molecule: ribosomal RNA, 253 nt
Filed under: uncultured bacterium
Lineage: Bacteria
Description: partial 16S ribosomal RNA
Rfam family: Bacterial small subunit ribosomal RNA
Source: RNAcentral
UACGGGGGGAGCAAGCGUUGUUCGGAUUUACUGGGCGUAAAGGGCGCGUAGGCGGCGCCGUAAGUCGGGUGUGAAAUUUCGGAGCUUAACUCCGAAACUGCAUUCGAUACUGCGGUGCUUGAGGACUGGAGAGGAGACUGGAAUUCAUGGUGUAGCAGUGAAAUGCGUAGAGAUCAUGAGGAAGACCAGUGGCGAAGGCGGGUCUCUGGACAGUUCCUGACACUGAGACACGAAGGCCAGGGGAGCGAACGGG